Rhododendron vialii is the source of this 3251-nucleotide RNA transcript. RefSeq lists it as uncharacterized. NCBI's taxonomy places the organism in Eukaryota, Viridiplantae, Streptophyta, Magnoliopsida, Ericales, Ericaceae. The record is from RefSeq and is a predicted model, not a curated record. The transcript is spliced from 4 exons.
CGUCGGCCCCGUUCAGGAAAGAAUAACAACAGACAUUUAUUUUUUUGAUUUCCAACAAACAUUCGCUGUGCAUCAUUCUUCCUUCGGUUGGGUUCGUUGCGGACUUUUCCCCUGGGAGCUGGGAUAAUAAAUGGAGACAGUGAGGAAAUUCUCCAUCUGAAUGCAGAAGAAGAGGGAAGUUUCUUCUUCUUCUUCUUAAACCUCUUCCCCCAAGGAGGAGGCGGCGACGGAAACUGAUAUACAUAUAAACAUGUAUAUAUAAACAAAGACCCAACGCCAUGGAUUCAGCUCCACCAACCAUAAACGAUGGAGUGGUCGCUGUCGAUCCUUUCUUGGUUGAGGCUCUUCAAAACCCUUGUCAUCGUCUCACCAUUCUGCGAAUGGAACUUGAUGUUCAGAAGUUUCUGAAGAAUUCCGACCAGCAGCAGUUUGAGUUCCAACAUUUCCCCACCUCAUACCUUCGUCUUGCGGCACACCGUGUUGCUCAACAUUAUGGUCUGCAGACUAUGGUUCAGGAUAAUGUCUCGGAUGGUCUGGGUACUAGAAUUGUGGUUAAGAAAUUGGCAGAUAGCAGAUACCCUGCAACCUGUUUAUCUGAAAUACCUGGUAAACAGUUGGAAAAUGAUAAACAUGAACCGAUUAAAAUUGUCAUGAGGCCAAGGCCUAGUAAAAUUCUCUCAGAGCAAGCCAGUGGAGAGGGAAUCAAAGGAAAUUCUGCAAGGACUGUGGAGGAGAGGAAGGAAGAGUAUGACAGGGCAAGAGCUCGAAUCUUCAGUGGAUCUAGUUUACCUUUGUCAGAAGGUUUCAUGCUUCAGGUUCCAUUAGGUACGAAGAAUAUGUGUUUGAGUGGAGAUGAGAAUGGAGGCUGCAAGAAUUCCAUGAUUGAUACAGAGAAAACCCCCAGCUUCAGGGACAGUGGUACUUCUUCCCAGGUUGCUGUUUUUAGAGACAAGGAGAAGGAUCGUAUUGACCCAGAUUAUGACCGAAAUUAUACAAGGUAUGCGAAAACUAUUAAUUAUGAAAGCUUUAAGUUGGCGCCCUUCGAUAUGCAGAAUUUUCAAGCUCCUGUGCAGUACUGCAACGGUUUUCCUCAGUUAGGUCAGAUGCGUAGAACCCAAGCUUCCAUAAACUAUAGGACACCUGUUAUGAGGCCUUUCUCUAUGGCUGGAUUAAAUCAGACAUCUGGGGAUGCCGUCUAUAUGCAGUGGCCUUCUUCUGCUAUGAUGUAUGCUCAGUCUUAUGAUCAAUUCAUGCAUGCUGUUUUUCAGGUAAAAUAUGCUGUUCAUAGACUCCCAAUUUAUUGCACCUUCUUUCAUGCCCGAGACUAUCAAGUAUAUUGUGCAUGUUGAGCACCCGACAUGCAUGCUAAUCAUGGGAUUUAACAAAAUCGGUUCUUCAAAUGUGUGCUUCUGUCGAAAUUGGUAUCUUAUGGCACAGAGAGUACAUGCUAGAUGGCAUAACCCCCAUUAUAGCUAGGAGCUGGUAUGUCUAAACUCUAGAAUCCGAACAUGUUUUGAGUCCAUGCUAUGGCCUUGAUGUUUCUAGUUCAAUGCGGGUAAAAAGCUACGUCUUGCUCAUGCGAAUGCAUUAUGGUUUAAAAAUUGUCCCAUAAGCUAAUUACAUUUAAAAAGAUGUGCUCGAAUGCGUUAUUAAUCAAUGUAAUUUAGCUGAUGGUAGGGGUUUUUAGCUGUCUCUUAGUGUGCCUUGAGCUGUUGUUACUAUUGCUGCUUCUUUUGUUGUCAGUGAAGAAGAGUUGCUGAUUUUGUUAAGUGUUUGAUACCAUUCUAAUUGUGGAAAUUAGAGGCAGAAAUGAAUUGGUUGAGAGGAAGAUGGUGUGGGGGAGGGAAGAUAUACCCGCAGAAUAAGAAAUGGUUGAAGGAGAGCCCCUCUGCAUGCGUAUGGAACCUUUUUAUGGGGUAACUUAGGGAACCAGCUCAACUGAGCACGACUCCCCUUUGCUUGGGUUGAAGGUAGUUCAACCCCUUUGGUUUGACAAUUCGAAGGUUUCUCAUCAGAAGCCUUAGGGGCAGUAGUCGGUAGCAAUGUUUUCAAAUCAGGAUACGUAUCGUGUAUCGUUUUUUCACUUGUAUAGUUCGUAUCGAGGUAUGUACCGUGUAUCUUGAGAUACGUAUUGUUGGAAGAGUAGGAGUUUCUAUUGUGUAGUUGGACAAUAUUUUUGGAAGAGGGAGAAUACUAAAGACGAAAGUGGGGAAUGAGAGUAUUUGUAUUACACUUGAACACAAACUUUUUUUUGGCUUGGUACAAAAUGGUUAGAACUAUCGCUAUUUGUACUACUCUAUGGAUGACUCUAGUACAAAGAUAUUUUCAUACAAGAUACACAUGAGACUAAUUCUCACAAAUUACUCUAGAUAUUUCACAAGGAUAUUCUAGAGCUAGAUAUUUUAGAGUUUCUAAAAACUAGAUAUUAUAUCUUUUUUGAUAAUAUCUAUCAUAUUUGGGUUUUAUCAAUUGGAGCUUUGUCAAAAUAUGAAAUUUAGUUUAUGUUUCAACAACGUUAAUCAUAAUUAAAAUAUAAUUAAGAAGUAGAUACACCUAAUAACACCAACAAACUAUGCUUACAUUUAAAAAAAAAAAAUUAAGAUGAAAAAUUUUAAAUCUCUCAACUGGGGCCUAUUACAUUAAGGCUUUAUGUUGCUUUUGUUAGAAAAGAAACAAUCGAAGUAUGGUUCUUUCUUUUAUACAAGACCUACAUUGAGGUUGAAUUUCUAUCAAAUGGUUUGAAAAAUGCCAUAAUUUGAUCAAACGGCUUAGAUUAAUGCAUUUGGAGUUCCGCUUCUUGAAAUAAGGUCCGACUUUUUUCAAAUAAGUAAUCGUAGGAUAUGUACAGAAUUAUGAUACGCGUAUAAAUCGUACGCGGUCGUAUUGAAGGAUUUUUAUACAAAAAUGAUACAUGAUGGAAUACGUAUCGUGUAUCGUGGGUUUUUAACAACUAUGGUCGGUAGGUACAAUAAGUCAAUAAGCCCCGGGGGCUAUAUCAAGAGAGCUGCAGAAGAGCUUCGGCACAGGCACCCUACUGGCAGCAGACUUUGAGUUUUGAUUACUCCCAAGACCAUUAAUGGGCAAUUAGCAGAGAAAAUUCAUGUGUAAACUGAUUCCAGUUCUCCUCACUUACAGUUGGUGUUAUGAAUAUUGUUGUUCAAGGACUUCUCUUAAACCCUACUGUUCCAAAUUCAUUUCUUUGAUAUCUUUUCUUGGUUAUGGUAAUGUUAAGUUAUGACGACUUAUUAUUA